UUUGUGGUGUUUCAUGGCCAGG
RNAcentral lists this microRNA (22 nucleotides) under Petromyzon marinus (sea lamprey). RNAcentral's name for it is "pma-miR-4616". The record is from miRBase by way of RNAcentral. Lineage: Eukaryota; Metazoa; Chordata; Hyperoartia; Petromyzontiformes; Petromyzontidae.